RNAcentral lists this ribosomal RNA (468 nucleotides) under uncultured bacterium. Its description in RNAcentral is "partial 16S ribosomal RNA". It matches the Rfam family "Bacterial small subunit ribosomal RNA", at positions 28 to 507 of the family's 1533-position model. The record is from RNAcentral.
GACGAACGCUGGCGGCGUGCUUAACACAUGCAAGUCGAACGGAAAGGCCCGGUUUUUGUGGGGGGCUCGAGUGGCGAAGGGGGGAGAAACACGGGAGAAACCGCCCCUUGACUUGGGGAUAACUUCAGGAAACUGGGGCUAAUACCGGAUAGGAGCUCCGGCGGCAGGGUGGGGGUUGGAAAGUUUCGGCGGUGGGGGAUGGACUCGCGGCUUAUCAGCUUGUUGGUGGGGUAGUGGCUUACCAAGGCUUUGACGGGUAGCCGGCCUGAGAGGGUGACCGGCCACAUUGGGACUGCGAUACGGCCCAGACUCCUACGGGAGGCAGCAGUGGGGAAUAUUGCACACUGGGCGGAAGCCUGAUGCAGCAACGCCGCGUGCGGGAUGACGGCCUUCGGGUUGUAAACCGCUUUCGCCUGUGACGAAGCGUGAGUGACGGUAAUGGGUAAAGAAGCACCGGCUAACUACGUG